Molecule: long non-coding RNA, 319 nt
Organism: Salarias fasciatus (jewelled blenny)
Lineage: Eukaryota; Metazoa; Chordata; Actinopteri; Blenniiformes; Blenniidae
Exons: 2
Source: RefSeq, a predicted model, not a curated record
UUUAAAGCUUGAAGAAAUAUUUCUUUAUGUGUAAAAUAUGCUGUAUUUGUUUCUGACAUGUGAUGUGUUCAUUUUAAAGGUACGUUUCUCAUUUGCAGAUCAAAAUGCAAUGAGAAAGUCUCUACAGUCCUAACCGCACUAUACCGAAGCCUUCUCAGGUUUGGGGCUGUGAAUGCGGGCGUUGUGUGACCUUCUCGCUGCCUGCCAGGUCCACCAGGUACAGCUUCCCCGACAGCUUCAGCUCCGUCUCCACGUUCUCCUGCUUGAUGUUGAUCAGGAAGAUGCUGUGACUCCGAGAGCUGUGCUCGUUCAUGUCUGC